ACCGACUUUCGCACAAGUCCGCAACCAUGCUGGCUACUCCCCGGGCUUCUGCCCGUCCUUUCACCAGCGCGCGCCCGGCCGCCAAGGCGCCCAUUUGCCCUCGCCGGGUGACCGUGCGCGCCGCGGAGGAGGCUGUGGAGGCCGCUCCUGAGGCGUUCGAGGAGUCCAUGGAGUCGGGUCCUCGUGGCCGUCGCAGCUCUGUGGAGAAGGGCAUGGAGCUGAAGCACUUCCUGCCUCUGCCCAAGCCGGCCCACCUUGUGUUCAUUAAGCCCACCGUGGCCGUCGUCGCGGGCACUGCUAGCCGCAGCUCCGUGGGCGUUAAGAUGUCCGCUGGCGACCAGCAACUGGAGCGCUACGUGGUCGAGUACUUCGCUCGCAGCGUCAAGUAAAUGGUGGAAUUUUCAUGUGGGUAGCCAAGAUACGCCCUGGAGCGUGGCC
This 438-nucleotide long non-coding RNA is filed under the name Chlamydomonas reinhardtii. RNAcentral's name for it is "long non-coding RNA (CREI_LNC000111)". The record is from RNAcentral. Lineage: Eukaryota; Viridiplantae; Chlorophyta; Chlorophyceae; Chlamydomonadales; Chlamydomonadaceae.